UUCUUUUGUCGCCGAACUCGAGCCAUCCCCCGCCUCUCUUCCCUUUUCUUCCCGACGCCGCCGCUUACUUUCUUCUCUUUGCCCUAACCGCCGGCGGCGGUUUCCUCGCCGACGCUUAAAUCCCUCGGCAACUCCUUCUCCCUCUCUUCAUUUCUUCUCUUUUGCCGACGACCUCUGCGCCCUAAUUUCUCCGUCGUCUGCCGCCGUCGAACAGAGAGCGUCGGCCACCAGGUCUGGUACCAGUCGCGGCUAUGCCCUAGUCUUCUCUUCUCGUGCAGCCACCGCCGAUCGACGCUGCCUUCCUGUGUCCUAGCCUCAGCCGCGACACCCACCCGACGGCGUCACCACCUGCGGUGCCGCUGGCCGAGCCCUAUCUCCGAUCGCCGAGCAGAGCAGGUCUCUUGCUUCUACCUUAGCUCUGUGCCCUAGUGUCCGACAUCUCCUGGAACAGCCGAGUCUUCCUCUCGCACGAAAUCAGCACAGCAGUGCCCUUUCGCCACUGUCCUUGUGCCCUAGCAUCGGUCGGCCAGCCGUCAAGUGCUAGCAGCAACUUUGACGGAUCCUAGGUCAUCACAGGCAGUAGGAGGGAAGAGCUUCUCCGGGUCUCGACGGUAAGUUCUUCAGGAUUUGAGCAGCACUGAGGCAUCGAAAAAUUUGAGGACCUUGACGCGAGACGAGUAUCUCGGAGUCAGAUUUGGACCAUUUUAUCGGAGG
Zingiber officinale is the source of this 714-nucleotide long non-coding RNA. RefSeq lists it as uncharacterized. The record is from RefSeq and is a predicted model, not a curated record. The transcript is spliced from 3 exons. NCBI's taxonomy places the organism in Eukaryota, Viridiplantae, Streptophyta, Magnoliopsida, Zingiberales, Zingiberaceae.